CUUUAACCAGACCAGAGAGAGGACACUUUAACCAGACCAGAGAGAGGACACUUUAACCAGACCAGAGAGAGGGCUAAGAUGUCAACCAACCAACCCCAGUAGGGUGAGUCCUGACCUGGAAUACCAUGAACUUGGCCCCAUACCCUGGUCUCAGAUCAGCUUGGCAUUCCCCCUUAUUGGUUACAGUUAAGAGAUGGCAAGAAGAAGCUGAUCUUAGAUCUGGGGCUGUAGUUUGGCAUGUUCCUCUUGUUAGAGGAAUUCUGUUGUAAGCCAGUCUGAGUGAGAGAGCUGUGUCAGAAAGACUGAGAGGUCCAGUGUAAAUUCUUUACCCUUUGGUUAACCUGUAGAAAAAUGGUGUACUAGGCUAGAUAUUGUUUUCAUUCAUCCAGUCUCAGCCUGGAUUAAUUUAUCUAUCUAAUGAUUUCCUUUUUGCUACGCACCACAUUUAGACGUUGAUGGAUCGCUGGUUAAAAAAAUGAACGUUUUUCUCCUCAACCAGCCUGUUACAGUACUGACUUUUGGCUCUCUGUAGGGUAACAUCUCAAAUAACACUCUAUUCCCUACUUAGUGCACUACCAUAGGGCUCUGGUCAAAAGUAGUGCACUAUACAGAGAAUAGGGUGCCAUUUGGGAUGUACAAUAUCUUGAAUGUUAUGUGUGGUGAUCAGCUGCCCUCAGACCAAGAGACCUUGGAAGGACAGAUUGUGUUCCUUCCUCCUCUCUCUGUUUUGCCCAUUCCAACCUGCUACACUUUAUCUUCGUUUCCCUCUAACCAGGACCUAUUCUUAUGAGUUAUGGCAUAAUAAAAUGAUCAAGACAAAAGUGUAGGUAAUGUCAAUGUAUUAAUGUUAUACCUAUAAUUUCUCUAUUACGGUUUGGAAACGCCACGGGGAUUGUUAUCCAGAGGGUUUUAACUAAAGCAAGAGUCAGCACUCUGGCUUUGCUGAAUGAUCAUGUUCUGAUUCCAACAGGUCUCUCUUCAUUCCAACCUGUGGUUGAUCAGGUAUCUUUUACAUAGUUACAUGGGCUCUGCACGGCUGUGGGCGGAAAUAGAGGGACCAUGUGGGUUACUCUGAUGUAAAUUGUAAAAGGUAGAAGUCAUUUCAUGUAAAAAAAUUUUUUUAUAAAUAAACAUUUUCAUCAAGAAAAAAAAUAGAUGGUGCUGAAAGUGCCAUUGAUUGGUUGUGAGGUGAUGUUAAUUUCACUGUUACAAGAGGAUACUUAGUGUCUGUCCAGUUGUUGACUGUAAAAGUAAUGUGACUCCUAUUAUUACAUGCAAUAGGACUAAACCUUCACAACGUGAGUAGGUGUUGGGAAUAGGACUGGUAACUAGAACUAAUAUAACUAGAUUACAAUUUAACUCCCAAGUUGACAAUAUAAUGUCAUUAACUAAAAGCUAUAUUACAAAGUACUAUAACGGUGCAUGUUGUUUCAUAUAAUUGAAUAUACAGUUGACUAGAUUACAAAAGGUAUGAUAAGUAACUUUUUAAGUCUUCAUCAUUCAUCAAUACUUUUUUAUUGCAUUUGUCCCAUAAUCACGUUUCAAACCAAAUGCAUUGACAGUGAAGCAUCAUGAAGAUAUCAACCCCUAUGAAAACAGCCUUCAUACCGACUCGUCAGCCUCACAGAGCAACCAGUCACCUAGACUAGCCUAGCCUAGCCUAGCUUACAUGUUCAGACAUUUCAAUAAUGAAUAUCUAGGUCGAGGUGUACUCACUCUUUCUCCGUUGUUCAUUCCACAGUGUACAAAACGUUUCCUCUUCGCGGUAAUGAACUCAACAAAAAACGAAAUGUAAAACAAUAAAUACAAAUCAGUACAUAAAUACCGAAAUGACUGUCAGGAAGUUGACAUUAUAUCUAAAGUUGAGAGUAAAGUUGUGGUAACGGAAGAGAUAACCGCUGGUCAACAGAAAUGAAAUGUUUAAAUAAUAACGGUUUAAAUGGACAGUUACAUGCGCGAGAGGAGAACUCC
RNAcentral lists this long non-coding RNA (1971 nucleotides) under Salmo salar (Atlantic salmon). RNAcentral describes it as "lncRNA (ENSSSAG00000106919.1)". The record is from RNAcentral. Lineage: Eukaryota; Metazoa; Chordata; Actinopteri; Salmoniformes; Salmonidae.